GGGGCAUUUGGACAUGGGCGAAAGCCUGAUCCAGCCAUGCCGCGUGAGUGAUGAAGGCCCUAGGGUUGUAAAGCUCUUUCGCGCGGGAAGAUAAUGACGGUACCCGGUAGAAUAAGCCCCGGCUAACUUCGUUGCCAGCAGCCGCGGGUAA
Molecule: ribosomal RNA, 151 nt
Filed under: uncultured bacterium
Lineage: Bacteria
Description: partial 16S rRNA
Rfam family: Bacterial small subunit ribosomal RNA
Source: RNAcentral